Long non-coding RNA from Triticum aestivum (bread wheat), 992 nucleotides. RefSeq lists it as uncharacterized. The transcript is spliced from 3 exons. Lineage: Eukaryota; Viridiplantae; Streptophyta; Magnoliopsida; Poales; Poaceae. The record is from RefSeq and is a predicted model, not a curated record.
UGCUAGGAAAAAUGCCUCCAGUAAUUUUUGAACCAUCAUGUAUAAUCUACAGUCCCAAAUAUGAAGCAUACUUUCCUCUUAAUAUUUUAGUUAUCUACCCUUUCAUCUGUCUGUCCUCACACACACCAACCUCACACCAACUAAAGCCCAUUAGACCGAAGAAAAAACCAUGUCCUGCCAUACUAUCCCUAUAAUUCCUUGCAAAUCAAUUAGAUUUCAUAUCUCUUCUAUUACUAACAAAUAUAUAGGUCAUAGAUGCAAAUUUAAUUAAGGUCCAUGAGUCAUGUAUUCUAUAUUUAACAAUAAAAUUCCAAAUAGUCGGGCGCGGCAACGUGAACCACCAAUGAUCUGUGGCGAAGCAUGGCCACGCGGGCUAGGGGGUCAGACCUCGUUGAUGCAUGUGGCGACACUUGAUCUUUGCAGGAAAUUGAUGAAACAGUCGACUGAACUGAUGAAACAGUGGACUGAAGCUCAUCUGCCUAGGUCCAAGGAAUUGAUGAAUUGUUAGUUCCUGGAAGACAGCUGAUGUGCGCCACUCACCGGAGGGGAUUAAUGAAGCUUUUAUAGGUGGUGUCAUCCUUUUUUUGGUCAACUGACUGAUUCGGGCAAAUCUUGGAGAUUGGUGCUCAUAUUUUUGUUUGUGGGGAGUUCUUUACUUGACAAAUCCGUAAUGGCUGCUUGUCAGGAGGUCUCAUUCUUUGAGGAAGGAGAGCCUAAACUUGAUGGGAAACCUAGAGACUUUGAAGGUUUGCUUUGCCCCUUGGUUGAGAUUUAGCAUGGCAUUGAUGUGACUGACUUUUAUUUAUGUGUGCUGUGACUAACUCCGUCUUAAAGGAGUAACCUAUCGAGCAGUUAAUAAUUCGGACAUCACCGCAUGAUUGCUUCAAAAGUGAAAUCACCAACCUGCAUGAAAAAGAUAGAAUCCGCCUUGUAUAUUUCUAGAGCUUGUGCCCAAUUCUUCAGUUUCUUGCAAGUUGGUUUCUAAGCACUUG